This is a long non-coding RNA of Ostrea edulis (European flat oyster), 3776 nucleotides long. RefSeq lists it as uncharacterized. The transcript has 7 exons. Lineage: Eukaryota; Metazoa; Mollusca; Bivalvia; Ostreida; Ostreidae. The record is from RefSeq and is a predicted model, not a curated record.
UUAUCUGAGCACUACAUAAUUUACAGUAGCGGAUCUGGUGGGUAGGUUUUAUUUGAACGUUAUCAACUAAAAAUUAUCAGCAUUUGCUCUUUUGCGGUCUUCGAUUCACCUCCCUUUUUGAAAGAAUUUUCUUGAUCCGCCACUUUUUAGUGUAGCGGAAAUGGCCGAGUAGUUACGAUUGCAUCGCAGCGCGUAACAUUACCUAUGUUUCCGGCGAACAUUUUGAGUUGAAAAUCUCCUUUGUUACUUUUUAGUGUAGCGGAAAUGGCCGAGUAGUUACGAUUGACUAAAAAUCUACAAGAGUUGUCUUUCUUUAAGAAGCAGAAGACAUUUGCCGUGAAAACGGAAAUGGAUGCCGAAUUCGAAAGAAAAGCUUAUUUUAGGGAUCUUUGCAGGAUGUUGUCCACUAAGUUAAUGGUGGGAUCGUAGCACUACCCUGCACACAGACAUGGAAUGGAUCUGCCUAGUCCAUUAUCAGAAGAGUGACUAAGCCUGUUGGUCCCAUCAGAGAAGUUUCUCAAGAAGCAUUACAAGGGACUUGUAUGAAUGGGCAGAAGAAAUUUUCUUAACUGACCACCUCAUCAUUGCCUGCUGUUGGAGACUGAACACUUUAUUGAAAAUUGAUGGGGUGUAGCAAUCUGUAGGUGUCCUCUUUUGACCUGAGAAGAAUCAGAGAAGUAUUCAUUUUUAUUGUAAAAAGUUUAGUUCAAGUUCAUGUAAUGAGCAAGGAGGCAGAUUUUACAGUUAUCUCCCUUAGACUAUGUAAAUUAUAAUACAGCACUUGCUAAUGUUAUUUUACAUGUUAAAUGUUGUUCAAAUGUUGUUAAUUUGGUUCAUAGACAAAGACAUGAGCUGCAUGCAUUGUACCAGUUUACAUACAGUUACCUACAGAAUUAACAGUAGAUUACAUGUACCUGACUCCCCAGAUUACCUGAGUGAUUAUUGCUGUUGGACUGCAUCCAUCAUUGUGUUUCGUCUGUCGUGCAUUACCAAUUGAACAUGUUAUAUACCUGGACCUUUAGUUGGGACGUAUUAUGGUACCGCAAUGUUUGUAUGUCCGUCUGUAGAUGUGGUGUAUUAUGGUAUAGCAAUGUCUGUAUGUCUGUCUGUAGAUGCGACGUAUCAUAGCAAAGCAAUGUCCUUAUGUCCGUCUGUAAAUGGGACAUAUUGUGAUACAGCAAUGUCUGUAUGUCUGUCUGUAGAUGGGAUGUGUUAUGGUACAGCAAUGUCUGUAAGUCUGUCUGUAGAUGAGAUGCAUCAUAGUACAGCAAUGUCUCUCUGUCUCUAGAUGGGACGUAUUAUGGUACAGCAAUGUCUAUGUCUGUCAGUAGAUGGGGCGUAUUAUGGUACAGCAAUAUCUGUAUGUCUGUCUGUAGAUGGGAUGUAUUAUGGUAUAUCGAUGUGUGUAUAUAUCUGUCUGUAGACGGGGCAUACCAUGGUACAUCAAUGUCUGUAAGUCUGUUUGUAGGUGGGACGUAUUAUGGUUCAGCAAUGUAUGCAUAUCUGUCUUAAAGACCCAAAUAAAAUACCGUAUGGUUUCUUCAUGGAUCACUGGAUGUGGGCAGAACUCAUCUAUGGUCAUUGUUAUUUACCUGGCCAAGAGAUCAGGGUGCUGUGUAUACUUUUGAUGUACACAGGAAGGGUCUGCAGUAAGUGUUUCUGUGGUCAUAGUGCUUGUAUAGUAGUUGUAUCCCUAUGGCUAGAUGACAUUCAGUCUACACAACCCCCUCUUUCUGUUUUUACUCUUGGUCAUUGGCUCAAUGAAUAAUUUCUUUUAUAGAUAUAGAGCUAUCAUAAAAUGAUAAUAUAAAUUAUUUCAAUAAGUUGCAAGGUUUAGAAAUUAAUGUGCAAAUUAUUGUUUGAUUUCUGAUUGUGUAAUUUAUAAUACAUGUAUAUAGAGGGGAAAAUUACAAUUAUAUUAAAAUGCAUUGUUCAGGGGUCUUUUAAAAAACAAUUGAAUUAUGAGAAAAUAGCAGUUGUGAACAGGUCAAUGCUAUCAAAACUCUAGAAUACAGGGCUUCCUCAAGAUCUAAAGAAUACCUGUAGGUACUUGCUGUUAUUGUUAUCAAAACACCUCUCUAGAGUAGCUCUAGACCAUGAUAGUUUCUGCAGAUGGCACUCCACCUGAGAUCUAUUGUUAAAUGUUUGAUGGCCAGACAGCUAACAAUUUGGGGAUGUUAACUUAAAGUUGGGUCUUUAAGAUGGGAUGCAUUGUCCACCAUCUGAAUGCUUUGUUAUGAUGUAUGAAGUGCCCUCUAAGUUAGGAAUUUUAGAAUCUUUAGCAAUUAUUUUCCCAUUUUGUACUUGAAAAUUCCCAAACAAUGAAAACAAAUCAAAGUAGGGUAGCCUAAUUGAUCAUAAACCUUCACAGGCCCACAGAUUACAAUUUUUGCCACAAAAUUGUUAUGUAAACCUAAUAUUUUGACCUUUUCUUAUUUGAAUAGGUAAACUUUGACCAAAUUGAACGUCAGAAAGAGUCCAGUUCUACCUUAAUUCACUCUGGAUGGGUUUUCUCCCUACUUCUUUGAAUUUUAAAGUAGUACUCUACAUUGUCAUAAUGGCUGACUGCCUUUAAAGACAUGGAUGAAAAAAUCGAUAUCAGCAAUAUUUGACUUUUCCUUUUCCAUUUAAAUACCUAGCCGAGUAGUUCAGUAGGUUAGAAUACCGACUGCUGAACUGUAGGUCACAGGUUCGACAUAUCCUCCACUUUUCAUCUACAUCAAAUUUCUCUGGUGUAGCAUACCUCCUUAAUUUGUUCAAACUUUCAUUUACCUGUUUGAUUUCUGGUCAUUCCAGCACUCUACAUUGUCACUUUGGUUUUUCAGCUCCCUGGGCGUCAUGAGAUGACAACCUGCAAUAGGAGCAGUUCCUACCGGUAUCUCUUAAAAGCAGACAGAGGUUUUCUUAAGCACCUGAUCCAUUUCUGAAGACAAAUUUUUGUAUGGAACUGGGUAGCAGUUACUUGAGAUGUCCGGCUGAUUGAUGAGGAUACUUUCCCUGAGACUCUAACAUUUUGUAGGACUUCGAUAGCUCUAUUGCUGUAGAAGAUGUCAGGACGGUGGAGAUUUAGAUAAGUGGUGUGAUGUUAUUGAUGGUAAACAGAAGACUGUGACCUUGAAUCUGAAGAUCUGUGAUGAAGACUAGACGUUUGGGGUCACUCUUUGUUACAGUACUACAAAUCUAACAGUGCCCCACUCAGCCACAAAGAGGUUGUCUCUGAUGUCCACACAUAAACCGUGAGGAAACUCUAAACCACAGUGAAUGUAACGGAGGAACUGUCCGUCCUGAUCUAGGAUGUGGAUACGGUGAUUGUCAUAGUCUGCUGUCAGGAUGUGACUCUGGCUGUCUGUAGUGAUGCCGCAUGGAUCAAAUGAUUGCUUGGUAUUAGAGGGAUGACCAGUGUAUCUAAAUCGGAGUUUUCCUGACUGAUUGACCACCACUACUGCACUAGCUAACCGGUCAGCCACACAGAUAUCCAGGUUCCUGUUCUCACUGAGGUAUUUAAUGUGAUGAGAUGAGUAGAGAGGACGACCCUGAUCAUCAAACUGAAUGCUUUGUUUCUCUGUGGAGCCGGAGUAACGCACGACUUUGGAUUGUUUUCUAUCAUCACUGAUCAUGGUAACCAGGAGAUCGUUAGCCGCGGUACAGCAGACAUAGAGAGGUCUCCACCCCUGUAGUGUGAUCACGAAUGAGUUGAGUGAAAUGAUGAACCUCCAGAUGUCUAUGUACAGUGUAUGAAUAAACUCUGUUGCACUCGCGCAUGCGAGCUUAUCCUA